Molecule: ribosomal RNA, 211 nt
Filed under: uncultured bacterium
Lineage: Bacteria
Description: partial 16S ribosomal RNA
Rfam family: Bacterial small subunit ribosomal RNA
Source: RNAcentral
AGUUCGGAUUGCAGGCUGNAACCCGCCUGCAUGAAGUUGGAAUCGCUAGUAAUCGCGGAUCAGCAUGCCGCGGUGAAUACGUUCCCGGGCCUUGUACACACCGCCCGUCACACCAUGAGAGUCGGGAACACCCGAAGUCCGUAGCCUAACAGCAAUGGGGGCGCGGCCGAAGGUGGGUUCGAUAAUUGGGGUGAAGUCGUAACAAGGUACC